This is an RNA transcript of Hipposideros armiger (great roundleaf bat), 4476 nucleotides long. It is a transcript of the gene named phosphatidylinositol glycan anchor biosynthesis class A, with no coding region annotated. NCBI's taxonomy places the organism in Eukaryota, Metazoa, Chordata, Mammalia, Chiroptera, Hipposideridae. The record is from RefSeq and is a predicted model, not a curated record. The transcript is spliced from 6 exons.
CAGCAGCGCUGCAAGGCACGCUGGGAGUUCUGGCUCUACCCUCUGAAGGGCCCUGGAGGGCUGCAUGUGUAAUAAGAGCCCAGAGUUGAUUUUUAGAGGUUCGCAACAUUAGGAAUUCAUAUAAAAGGUUAAACCGAAGAUUACUGCUUUCAGUGCAGAGACGACAAGUCUUCCGGAACACCGUGGGGACAUGUACCACUGCGUACAGAUUUUACAUCCCACGCUGAAGGGUGGGGACUGAGAGCCGCUCCUGCACGUGAUUCCUGCGCCUUUUUGUUACUGGCUCCUUCAGGGACGAGGCGCUCGGGCGCGGACGCCCCGGAUUGGUGUUUCAGGGCAGCGGGGUGGGACUCUGGCUGCUGCCGCGGGAGGUCCGGACACUGGCGGCCAUGGAACUCGCCGGUACUGGACGACACGUAUCUCAACGGGGUUGCUCUAAGGACUAAUGCCUACACCGUCUCAGCAUGGCCUAUCGAGGACGACGUGGCCAUCCUCGCUUUGCUGCGCGCUACCGUGUUAACCGUGGAACUCUUUACACCUAUAGAACCCGUACCCAUAAUAUAUGCAUGGUUUCGGAUUUUUUCUACCCGAAUAUGGGAGGCGUGGAAAGCCACAUUUACCAGCUCUCUCAGUGCCUGAUUGAAAGAGGACACAAGGUCAUAAUUGUCACCCAUGCUUAUGAAAAUCGCAAAGGCAUCCGUUACCUCACGAAUGGCCUCAAAGUCUAUUACUUGCCUCUGAAAGUCAUGUACAACCAGUCUACAGCCACGACCCUGUUUCACAGUCUGCCAUUGCUCAGGUACAUAUUUGUUCGGGAGAGAGUCACGAUAAUCCAUUCACAUAGUUCCUUUUCUGCCAUGGCCCAUGAUGCCCUCUUCCACGCCAAGACAAUGGGGCUCCAGACAGUCUUCACGGACCAUUCCCUUUUUGGAUUUGCUGAUGUCAGCUCGGUGCUUACAAACAAGCUUCUAACUGUGUCUCUUUGUGACACAAACCACAUAAUUUGUGUCUCUUUUACUAGUAAGGAAAACACUGUACUAAGAGCAGCACUGAAUCCUGAAAUAGUGUCCGUCAUUCCUAAUGCUGUAGAUCCUACUGACUUCACUCCAGACCCAUUUAGAAGGCAUGAUAGUAUAAUAACUAUUGUUGUUGUCAGCAGACUUGUUUACAGAAAAGGGACCGAUUUGCUUAGUGGUAUAAUACCUGAACUCUGUCAGAAAUAUCCAAAUUUAAAUUUCAUAAUUGGAGGAGAGGGACCAAAGAGAAUCAUUUUGGAAGAAGUACGGGAAAGAUACCAGCUACAUGACAGAGUGCGUCUCUUGGGAGCCUUAGAACACAAGGAUGUUAGAAAUGUCUUAGUUCAAGGACACAUUUUUCUCAAUACUUCCCUUACCGAAGCGUUCUGCAUGGCAAUUGUGGAAGCAGCCAGUUGUGGUUUGCAGGUUGUAAGUACCAAAGUUGGUGGAAUUCCUGAAGUACUUCCAGAAAAUCUUAUUAUUUUAUGUGAGCCUUCUGUAAAAUCUUUGUGUGAGGGAUUGGAAAAAGCUAUUUCCCAACUGAAGUCAGGAACAUGGCCAGCUCCCGAAAAUAUCCAUAACGUAGUAAAGACUUUCUACACCUGGAGGAAUGUUGCCGAGAGAACUGAAAAAGUAUGUCAUGUGCCAAGAAAAGGGUAUUUGAAGAUUGUGUCUGAAUUCCUGAUUCAUGUAUACGUUUACUUUUUCUUAUUUAUACAGGUUUACUGUUUCAGUUCUAUUGCUUAAGCUUAUGAAGUCUCUUCCCAAUGAAAAGACGUGAACUAAUGGAUUACUUUUGGUAUAUGCUAGACUUCAAGUUUCUAGUCAGAUCGUUGGAUUUGACAUCUGAAAAUAGCAGUCAUGCAGUCUAGACCUUUGAUUAAACUGGGCAUAAAGAAGUUACAGAAUUUUCUAGAGGCCACACCAUUGGAGGCAAAACUAAUAUUAAAAUCUACUCUUGGACAUUUUUGUGAGGCUGUUUAUCAUUCUAAAGUGUAUAGGUCUGUCAGAAAAUACAUGGUUUUACUUAAUCUGAUUGUGGAAACUUUGUAACUUGUAAAUAUUUAAUUCAGGUUACUUCCUAAAACUCUUGUGUCACUUUUGCUAACUACUGUGAUUUUCUACAGGAAAAGGAUUUUUGCAUCUUUGAGCUGAUUGAGAACCUAAGUUAGAAUUCAAAAUGCACAUGACAAAUGUCGGAUAUAUGAUCACAAAUAAAAAGCAGCAAUAGAGAAUUUCCGAAAGGACAGGUACAGGAAAUAGAUUAAUACCCUUAGGUGGGAGAGUUCGGUUAUGGGAAAUGCUUCCUGGUUUCAAGUCAAGGACUUCAUUUAUUCUACUCAGUUUCAUCCGUCCUUUGUUUAGGUAUUAAUAUCUUUCAUUACUUUGUCUGCCUCAUGCCUUUUAGUAGCAUGUAAACAAGCUGGAUGGAAACACCCUGCUUCUUAGUAUAUAGAAAUUGAGAACCAGACAGUUAGUGAGUUGGGAGCAUGGAGAAGAUAGUAGUUUAGACUAGUGCUUUCUGCUAUCAUUGUAGUCAGCGGAGCACCUAGUUUCUAGCCUGAAGAUGGAGCUGAGUAAGCAGAAUAGCUCUUUCCUGCAUGGCUUUCUUACUUGGUUUAAAUGAUAAAUUCCUGUACAUAAGAAGAACCCAUAUUUGAAUAUAAGUACAAACAUUGUCAUAUCCAUUUUCCAUUGAACCAGGAGAUAUUUGAGUUAAACAAUUUUGACUGAAAUGUCUCUGAGACACUAACCUUCUAGAAGUUUUACAGUCUCUCCACCCAUAUGAAAUAACUACCUUUCCCUGGGUUUCCUUUGGAAGUUGGAGUAUAGCACUGAUUACCUGCUAGGAGUACAUGUCAGAACCACCUAGGUAGCUUUUUGGGGACAGUUUCAUUCCAUCUUUGUGUCCCUUGCUUCUCCAGCCACUGCCUAGAUUCUAACAUGACCUUUGAAGGGCAGAGGUGGCAUUUGGGAAUGGUUGGCAGGGAUAUUUGGUCAGACUGGUUUUUUCAGUGAUACUCCACUCUGUUGAGACCCACAGCUCUGUAACUUGUGGCUCCCCCGUCUUGAUCAACAUCGUGUAAACCUCAGAAGUCUGAGCUACUGUAGAUAGUAAGUUCAAGGCAAAUAACUCUUUUUUUGUCAGCAUAUUUUAAGGGAGCUAACUAAUUACGAUUUUUUUAACCAUAAAUUUUGUUUAAGUUUUGCUUGAAGUACUAGUAAAAAUCUGGAUUUUUUUUCUAUUUUAUAUUCUGUGGUGAUUUAUGGUAUACAUUCCAAAAAAAGUUACUCCUUGUAUGUAGUGGAUUGUCAUGUCUAUCAUUCUCUUCCUAGUAAAUUACUUGGGCAUUUAAGGUUGAAAAUUAAUUGACCUGGAAAUAAAAGGUGGACACGCAGGUCAGUUUGUAGUUGUCUUUGCAUUCUACCUGUCCCACACAUGACACUUUGAUCCCUUUUGACUUCCCCUCCUUAGUCUGUGCUGUUUAGAAACUUGAACAAGUUAUGAUUUGCCCGUCUCAGCAUGAUUGUCAACAUACUUUUGAUUCAGAGGUAUUCGAGAUGUCCUCAAGGUGGAAGAGCCCGAUGAAAACAUCCUGUGUCUUUCAGAGGCCAUUGGCCUGUAGGACUUGCGUUGCACAUCAUAAGUUUCUUGAGUUCAGAAGGAGGUGGUUUACAGACCUGAUAUGAGAAGCACAAGUAAUGCUCAAAUGCAAUUAAAAACAUUAAUGUUGGCCCAUUUUAUGUGUUCAGAAUAAGAAUGUUUAAAGAUCUUUGUUUUUUCUCAUAUUUCUGAGUUUAGUGCUUAGCAGUGCUGUAAAAAGCAAGCCACCUACUAUCGAUGCUCAGCAAUAAAGCUUGUUGCCUUUGCCUGUACCCUCUAUGAAGAGUUGCCCCGUUUCUUUCCCCUCCUCUUAUUUGGAAUCCGUGAAAUGUUUCUGUACCUUCUCAGCCUCCGUGCUCAGCAACACAGCCUCACGUGGCUGCGGAAAGAAGAGCUGCUCUGUACCCAAAAAGAAUCACACUGUAGCUUGUCAUUCUCUGAUUGUGCUUGAUGUCUGCCAGGUAGCGAGCGGUGAACCUUAGAAGGCCUGUUCUGCUUCAGGGAGUCACUGCUGAAUUAAACAUGGCCUCGACAGAGGCGACCCGAGGAACACUUCCAGCUUCUCAGGACUUCAGAAUUCUCGUAGUUGGUUGAAAGUGAUGGUGGUCCCUAGGGGACAGGACCCGCGGCCUGUUCGUCUUUGUAUGGCAUGGCGUCUAGCCCGGUGUUUUGUCCAUAAUAAGUACUGCAUGAGUGUUGGAUCAGGAGGCAGUAAUUUUGUAACGAAUUUCAUUAGCCACAUCAUUCCUAUAACAACAACGAGAUGUGUACGAUCGGGUGGCAGGAGAAGCUGUGUUACCGAUGGACAGACGGCUGGACAGACUCAUCUCUCACUGUGGCCCAGUAACAGGCUGC